AACGCUAGCUACAGGCUUAACACAUGCAAGUCGAGGGGAAACGACAUCGAAAGCUUGCUUUUGAUGGGCGUCGACCGGCGCACGGGUGAGUAACGCGUAUCCAACCUGCCCACCACUUGGGGAUAACCUUGCGAAAGUAAGACUAAUACCCAAUGAUAUCUCUAGAAGACAUCUGAAAGAGAUUAAAGAUUUAUCGGUGAUGGAUGGGGAUGCGUCUGAUUAGCUUGUUGGCGGGGUAACGGCCCACCAAGGCGACGAUCAGUAGGGGUUCUGAGAGGAAGGUCCCCCACAUUGGAACUGAGACACGGUCCAAACUCCUACGGGAGGCAGCAGUGAGGAAUAUUGGUCAAUGGACGAGAGUCUGAACCAGCCAAGUAGCGUGCAGGAUGACGGCCCUAUGGGUUGUAAACUGCUUUUAUAAGGGAAUAAAGUGAGUCUCGUGAGACUUUUUGCAUGUACCUUAUGAAUAAGGACCGGCUAAUUCCGUGCCAGCAGCCGCGGUAAUACGGAAGGUCCGGGCGUUAUCCGGAUUUAUUGGGUUUAAAGGGAGCGUAGGCCGGAGAUUAAGCGUGUUGUGAAAUGUAGACGCUCAACGUCUGCACUGCAGCGCGAACUGGUUUCCUUGAGUACGCACAAAGUGGGCGGAAUUCGUGGUGUAGCGGUGAAAUGCUUAGAUAUCACGAAGAACUCCGAUUG
This 696-nucleotide ribosomal RNA is filed under the name uncultured bacterium. RNAcentral's name for it is "bacterial SSU rRNA". It matches the Rfam family "Bacterial small subunit ribosomal RNA", at positions 32 to 715 of the family's 1533-position model. The record is from RNAcentral.